AAUUAGGUGCCUGACAAAAAGGGUUAUCUUGAUAGGAUAAAUAAUGUAGAUUUCUACCCUUAUUA
This 65-nucleotide transfer RNA is filed under the name Camptonotus carolinensis (leaf-rolling cricket). RNAcentral describes it as "tRNA-Ile". Lineage: Eukaryota; Metazoa; Arthropoda; Insecta; Orthoptera; Gryllacrididae. The record is from RNAcentral.